AGACUGUGGUGCAGACAUCAUCUCAACAAGUCCUUAUACCUCUCCCAGGUGUCUUACAUGCUCUCAUUGUCCAUCUUCAUAAAAGAAGAAAUGUCAUUUCUUAAUUU
Molecule: small nucleolar RNA, 107 nt
Filed under: Ricinus communis (castor bean)
Lineage: Eukaryota; Viridiplantae; Streptophyta; Magnoliopsida; Malpighiales; Euphorbiaceae
Description: Plant small nucleolar RNA R71
Rfam family: Plant small nucleolar RNA R71
About the family: R71 is a member of the C/D box family of snoRNAs containing the C (UGAUGA) and D (CUGA) box motifs. Multiple nearly identical copies of this snoRNA have been identified in Arabidopsis, and it is thought to function as a 2'-O-ribose methylation guide for 18S ribosomal RNA.
Source: Rfam by way of RNAcentral